This 300-nucleotide long non-coding RNA is filed under the name Carica papaya (papaya). RNAcentral's name for it is "long non-coding RNA (CPAP_LNC001129)". The record is from RNAcentral. Lineage: Eukaryota; Viridiplantae; Streptophyta; Magnoliopsida; Brassicales; Caricaceae.
GUAUUUUAACUUCUAUUCCAAACCAAAACCCUAACCCUAACCGACACCCCCUCACUAGAGAAUAAGAAGAAGGGCGGCCAGAGGAGAAGCCAGCCACCGGCGCUGCCACACCGAAGACCUAAAACACACCGGUGAGUGUGGUUUUUUUUUUCCCGUUUUUCCCCGUUCCUUUGCCCUUAGCCAUAUAACUUGUUUUCGUUAUAGAAGAACUGAGAAUGAUCGCGAACUGCGAGGAAGGAGAUGACGGAGCCUAGCUGAGCCACCACACCAUAAAUCAAAAAACGCUUUGGUAAGCUGUAC